RNAcentral lists this unclassified non-coding RNA (341 nucleotides) under Hevea brasiliensis (rubber tree). Lineage: Eukaryota; Viridiplantae; Streptophyta; Magnoliopsida; Malpighiales; Euphorbiaceae. The record is from RNAcentral.
CUCUGAGGACUGGAAGGAGCAGUCAUGUAAGGGGAAGAGCAAGUACUAUCAAAGUUGAACUCCACCGGUGGUACUGGCACCACCACUUCCAUCUCCAUUGAAAGAAGGAGGGUGAGAUUUUAUGUGGAUUGUGCAGGUGAGAGAUUGGUUAAAUUGUGAAGUUCAUAGAAAGAGGAGGAAGAAGGAAGGAAGGAAAGGAAAUUUGACUGGAAGAGAAAUUGAUCACGCCUUGAUGAGAAGGCGGCUUUUAUAAAUCCACCAAUUCUGCUUCACUAUCCAUAGACUAAUGUUAAUAAAAAGAAUUUUUAAUCAUACAUUUAUUUUAAAAAAAUUAAUUACUU